CCAGACUCCUACGGGAGGCAGCAGUGGGGAAUAUUGCACAAUGGGGGAAACCCUGAUGCAGCGACGCCGCGUGAGCGAGGAAGUAUUUCGGUAUGUAAAGCUCUAUCAGCAGGGACGAAAAAAGACGGUACCUGACUAAGAAGCCCCGGCUAACUACGUGCCAGCAGCCGCGGUAAUACGUAGGGGGCAAGCGUUAUCCGGAUUUACUGGGUGUAAAGGGAGCGUAGACGGCAAGGCAAGCCAGAAGUGAAAGGGCAGGGCUCAACCCUGUACAUGCUUUUGGAACUGUGGUGCUAGAGUGCAGGAGAGGUAAGUGGAAUUCCUAGUGUAGCGGUGAAAUGCGUAGAUAUUAGGAGGAACACCAGUGGCGAAGGCGGCCUGCUGGACAGAAACUGACGUUGAGGCUCGAAAGCGUGGGGAGCAAACAGGAUUAGAUACCCGCGUAAU
Molecule: ribosomal RNA, 447 nt
Filed under: uncultured bacterium
Lineage: Bacteria
Description: bacterial SSU rRNA
Rfam family: Bacterial small subunit ribosomal RNA
Source: RNAcentral